AUUCCUAAAGUCCAAAAAUAUUUAUAUGCAGAAUUUUCUGUGUUGAAAAUAUGAAAAGGCCACGAAUUUGGUUAGUUACCACUGAGUUGUUCUAGUCUAAGCCUUUUUUGCUGCUUGUGUAUCAUUCUUUUUCAAUGUAUAUAUAAUUAUGGACUGCAAAAAAAAAAAAAAGGCAUUUAUAUGUCUAGUAGAAGGAAUAAGCUUAUUUAUAUUAUAGUGUUAAAAAGUCUGAUGUAUUCAAGUGACUUACAUUAUACCGCAUGCAAACACACAGUGUACAUUCCAUCUAAGAAGGGAUGCCAUGCUAUUUCUUUUGAAGAAGUAAUUAAAGCUGUUCUCUUUUCAGAAGAGCAUAUGCCAGAAAGACUGAGAGGUGGAAAUUGUUCUUAGUCAAUUUUAUUGUAGGUUGUUGCUGAAAACCAGAAGAUAUUCUGGAAAGCAUGAGUGCUUUCAGAAUUGUGGGAUUUUCUAAGAAAGGGCAGCAAAGGGGUAAAACUGCUCCUUCCCCCAAAGAUGUUUUAAUGGAAAAGAAAACAGCACCACUACCAAAAUCCCAUCUGACCGAGAAGUGUGCAGUACUGGCUGUGCCAAGUGAACUCUGACGUGGAGCACCACUGACCAUUUGUUACAGCCUGGCAUUGAUUUGUUUUGGUUUAUUAUAUUUGGACAUUCAAAAGACAAAUUCUGCCUUGCUCACAGUCUGUGAAACACAAAUUUUAAUAACAUGGCAUCCCCUUACAAAAACUUUACACCAGCCAUGUAUGAAUAUACAGUAUCUAAAUACUGUGUUGCAGUUGUGUUAUGUGCAUUAUAAGUGUGAAUAACAUGUAGCACAGUUUCUUUUCACAGAACCUUAAAUUUCCGUAUCUUUUAAAUAUGUUUGCUUUUCAGUAUUUUGUAUAGUAAAUAUAGAUGGUUUUGACUAAAUGCUUUAUUUAUUUAACAGCAAAAACUGUGCCAAGAGAACCCCCUGUUAAUUAAAGUUUUACUAGUUCAGAAAGUAUAUUUCUUUCUUCUUGUUGUGGAUUUCAGGGGCCUAUUGCAAUUGCUGUCAGUGCUUGCAGAUCCCACUGAUGAAAGAGCUUGCAUUAACAUUUUUGGGAACAGGAUCAGGAAAUUACGUAUAGACUGGGUAUGCUUUGGUCUAAUAUUUAAAAUAUCAAGUUUCAAAGUUAAAUUUCUUGUCCCCUGCUGUUGGACCUGUGUUGAGUAACUGAUAUUUCAUUUUGCUAUUAAUUCAGAAAAUUUUUCCUUAAAAAAAAUAAAUAUUGCUUUAAGUUGUUCAAAACCAUAGCUGAAUCAAAAUUUGAAAGAGUUUAGUUUCUGGUUAAACAAAACAUUAAUUUCCAAAGAAAAAAUAUCAGAGUUGAGUAUAUUGGUAAUAUUGAAAAGUAAAAUGGAGGCAUUAAGUAAUUUCAGAUGAAAACUCCAGACUUUUCACUUUCUUCUUCUGUUUUUACACAAGGCAGAUCAGCAAAAUGAAGUCAAUCCUGAACUUUGCACUAUUUGCUGAAAAAUUUCAAUUGAAAAAUUUUGCUUAUCUCUACCAGCUGCAAUUCUGGGGAGGACAGUGUUUUGAAAAGAAGCAUUGCUAAGCUCUUCUCACAACUUCAUGACCAUAAUACAAAUUUACCUAAGCUAAGGCUGUGAAGUAAAAUUUCUGUUGCAGUGAAAUCUCUGGCAAGACUGCCAGGUUCCACGGGCUGCAGGGUGCCUAUAAUUUCAUUUCAGGAAGAUGUACUAUGCUCUUUUC
Molecule: non-coding RNA, 1753 nt
Organism: Sturnus vulgaris (Common starling)
Lineage: Eukaryota; Metazoa; Chordata; Aves; Passeriformes; Sturnidae
Source: RefSeq, a predicted model, not a curated record